Molecule: long non-coding RNA, 321 nt
Filed under: Malus domestica (apple)
Lineage: Eukaryota; Viridiplantae; Streptophyta; Magnoliopsida; Rosales; Rosaceae
Description: long non-coding RNA (MDOM_LNC008581)
Source: RNAcentral
AAAGGAUGAACGUUGGAAGAAGAAAUACAGGGUGCACAUUGCGAGCCUUAUGACACGAACUUUUGAAGAGACUAUUUCUGUCAUAGAGAGUGCUUUUACAGUGAGCUCCAAUUCCUGGAUAUUUGAUUCAGGCGCUAGUCAACAUAUUUGCAAUACGUUGCAGGGACUAGCAGGGAGCAGGUCACUGCGCAAUGGGGAGAUGGUUGUGCGAGUUGGGAACGGCACUAAAAUCUCUGCAAAAGCAAUAGGCACCUACACUCUUAACCUACCCUUUGGGGAAGUCCUGGAACUUAAAAAUUGUUUAUAUUUUCCUUCAUGUAU